RNAcentral lists this transfer RNA (72 nucleotides) under Heterocephalus glaber (naked mole-rat). It matches the Rfam family "tRNA". From Rfam's summary of the family: Transfer RNA (tRNA) molecules are approximately 80 nucleotides in length. Their secondary structure includes four short double-helical elements and three loops (D, anti-codon, and T loops). The record is from Rfam by way of RNAcentral. Lineage: Eukaryota; Metazoa; Chordata; Mammalia; Rodentia; Bathyergidae.
GGCAUUGUAGCUCAGUACUAGAGCGCUUGCUUAGCAUGCGUGAGACCCUGGGUUUGAUCCUCAGGACUGCCA